AUCUACCCGACAGUGGGGGAUAACCCAGGGAAACCUGAGCUAAUACCGCAUGUUGCGCCGGCUUGGAAGCCGAGCGUUAAAGCGGGCCUCUCAUUGAAGCUCGUGCUGUCGGAUGGGCUCGCGGCCUAUCAGCUUGUUGGUGGGGUAACGGCCUACCAAGGCGAUGACGGGUAGCUGGCGUGAGAGCGCGACCAGUCACACUGGGACUGAGACACGGCCCAGACUCCUACGGGAGGCAGCAGUGGGGAAUAUUGCGCAAUGGGCGAAAGCCUGACGCAGCGACGCCGCGUGGGGGAGGAAGACCUCAGGGUUGUAAACCCCUGUCAGGUGGGACGAACCCCGGAUCGAGUAAUACACGGUCCGACUGACGGUACCACCAGAGGAAGCUCCGGCUAACUCCGUGCCAGCAGCCGCGGUAAUACGGGGGGAGCUAGCGUUGUUCGGAAUUACUGGGCGUAAAGGGCGCGUAGGCGGUCUUGUAAGUCGGGUGUGAAAUUCCGGGGCUCAACCCCGCGAACUGCAUCCGAUACUGCUCGACUUGAGAGAGGUAGGGGCGAGUGGAAUUCCCGGUGUAGCGGUGGAAUGCGUAGAUAUCGGGAAGAACACCGGUGGCGAAGGCGGCUCGCUGGACCUUUUCUGACGCUGAAGCGCGAAAGCGUGGGGAGCAAACAG
This 672-nucleotide ribosomal RNA is filed under the name uncultured bacterium. RNAcentral's name for it is "bacterial SSU rRNA". It matches the Rfam family "Bacterial small subunit ribosomal RNA", at positions 124 to 775 of the family's 1533-position model. The record is from RNAcentral.